CUCAGUUGUCGUUUCGCUUUAUUCUGAAGGAAUUCUUCAUAAGACUCAGACCAGUGCCACAGGCAGUUUAUUUGCACACGCCAUUUUUCCAUUCCAAAGACAGGCUUUAGAUUUUACUGGUGCAUGGUCCAUUGCCAGCAACAGACACACAAACCCACCAGUGAAACUGAACUUAAAAGUGGUAAAAAUAAGACACGCUUGAAGAGAAUUUUUUUUUUAAUAUAGUUUUCAUUUAAAAAAUAAAAUAGAUGAAAUUUUAAAAUAGGAACAUCAAAUUCCAACUAAAAUUUUAAAAUAUUUUCAUGCUAAAAGCCAGAGUCUGGAUGUGAGCCUCAUGGAAGCUACACAGAAGUAAAACAGAAAGAAAUUUAAUCUUUCACAUUAUUUGUAUUCAUAUCUUUACUUUCUUGGUUAACGUGACUGUUGGUAUUUUUACUACAUUGGUCUGAAUCCUCACUUUUAUUUUCUAUUUCCAUAGCACUGCUUUCCACAGGACUGUGGGGAGAUUCUUCAUCUAUUUCUGCUUCCAUUUUUGUGACUGCAUCACGUUCUUUAUCUUCCACAUCCAUUCCUUCCUCCGUUUGUGCUGGUCUGCAUUGAACUUCCUCCUCUGUUUUACCUUCUGAUUCCCCCUCUUUCCUCUUUGCUUUAAACACUUCAACUCCCAUCAUCCUCAAGUAAUGAAGUCUCUCAUUCUUGGGCACAAAGGCACGGAGCGAUGUCUUUCCUUGCCAACCACAGAGCACUAUAGGACACUGAAGAUCAUCAGGUUUUUCAGGGUCUGGCUCAUACUUCAGAACUAUACUUCCCAUCGCCAUGUCUUUGACUUUCCUCUGUGUUUCACUGCUAAAUUUACUUAAGAAUGGAUUUUCCUGGGUUAGCAGUAUUUUAACAUCUUCUAUGCAGACAUUUACAAUCCUUGCAUGAAUGAAUGGGUAUAGAGUAUAUAUUCCCUCUUGUGCUAAUCUGAAGGCACAUCCAAACUGCUCACCAUCACUGUUGCGAGACCAGACUUUUAUCCCUGUGUUGAUAACCUUCAUCUUCUCACUGUUGUUGAGAAGCACAUUCCUUAACUCCUUAGAAACCAUGUACAGCUGUCUCUUCUUUCCUUCUUGAGUUCGAGUUAAUAAAUUCAUCUUGGGAAAUGAAGGGUCCAGUGCAUAAAACUUCCUGUGGCCAUAAUACUUGUUUUGAUUAACUGAGCAAUGAAAUCACAUACUCAAGAAGUACAGAUGCGUGCGUUUCCUUAAGCUAUCACUGCAAACACCUUCAGUUAGUUGACAUUAGCUUCAGUACGCAAAGAUUAACAUUUCAAAGACUCCUGAGAUCAGAAAUGAUUCAAUGUCACAGACAGUAAGAUACAUUUGAAUGUUCCCAGAGCAAACUAUCACCCAUGGCCUUUAGUUGGCCACCUUCAUUUAAGAAGAGUUUAAAGCAUUGAGGAGAUGGGCAGCUAGUGUGAAGACAGGGAACAAGUUUACCUGUGACCAACGAGACCCAUCUUGUGUAGUUAACUAAAUUGCUAAUAUUCCUAAAACUGUUAGGAAUCUUACUAGGAAAAAAAACAAAACAAAA
Molecule: long non-coding RNA, 1575 nt
Filed under: Gallus gallus (chicken)
Lineage: Eukaryota; Metazoa; Chordata; Aves; Galliformes; Phasianidae
Source: RNAcentral